Molecule: transfer RNA, 68 nt
Filed under: Stenodactylus petrii
Lineage: Eukaryota; Metazoa; Chordata; Lepidosauria; Squamata; Gekkonidae
Description: tRNA-Gly
Source: RNAcentral
GCCCCCUGAGUAUCAAAGUACAAGUGCCUUCCAAUCACUAAGUCUUAGUAACACCCUAAGAGGGGAUA